Aspergillus nanangensis is the source of this 91-nucleotide non-coding RNA. The record is from the annotation of a GenBank genome assembly. Lineage: Eukaryota; Fungi; Ascomycota; Eurotiomycetes; Eurotiales; Aspergillaceae.
GCCCGACUGGCGCAAUCGGAUAGCGCAUUAGACUUCUACCGUAUUUCAUAAGGUUAUCUAAAGGCUGUGGGUUCGACCCCCACGUUGGGCU